ACUGUGCGGUACUGCUUUUCAGUUCAAUUUGUCGUAGCUGCUACUUGCAUUGACGUUACCCUGAGGAAUAUAAUUCCACAUCCAAGGCUUUUCCCAUUUGAGACUUGGUUAUCACUCUUUGCUGUUAAGCUGUAGAGUCAACACACUUGCUGUCCAUCUCUGUUGGC
This is a long non-coding RNA of Sardina pilchardus (European sardine), 167 nucleotides long. RefSeq lists it as uncharacterized. The record is from RefSeq and is a predicted model, not a curated record. The transcript is spliced from 3 exons. Lineage: Eukaryota; Metazoa; Chordata; Actinopteri; Clupeiformes; Clupeidae.